UUACAGGUUGGCCGGCGGCCCGCCGAGUG
Molecule: small RNA, 29 nt
Filed under: Bombyx mori (domestic silkworm)
Lineage: Eukaryota; Metazoa; Arthropoda; Insecta; Lepidoptera; Bombycidae
Description: ovarian small RNA-36443
Source: RNAcentral